This 551-nucleotide ribosomal RNA is filed under the name Alternaria alternata. RNAcentral describes it as "eukaryotic LSU rRNA". The stretch from base 197 to 350 matches the Rfam family "5.8S ribosomal RNA". Lineage: Eukaryota; Fungi; Ascomycota; Dothideomycetes; Pleosporales; Pleosporaceae. The record is from RNAcentral.
GUCUUUGUAGGUGACCUGCGGAGGGUCAUUACACAAAUAUGAAGGCGGGCUGGAACCUCUCGGGGUUACAGCCUUGCUGAAUUAUUCACCCUUGUCUUUUGCGUACUUCUUGUUUCCUUGGUGGGUUCGCCCACCACUAGGACAAACAUAAACCUUUUGUAAUUGCAAUCAGCGUCAGUAACAAAUUAAUAAUUACAACUUUCAACAACGGAUCUCUUGGUUCUGGCAUCGAUGAAGAACGCAGCGAAAUGCGAUAAGUAGUGUGAAUUGCAGAAUUCAGUGAAUCAUCGAAUCUUUGAACGCACAUUGCGCCCUUUGGUAUUCCAAAGGGCAUGCCUGUUCGAGCGUCAUUUGUACCCUCAAGCUUUGCUUGGUGUUGGGCGUCUUGUCUCUAGCUUUGCUGGAGACUCGCCUUAAAGUAAUUGGCAGCCGGCCUACUGGUUUCGGAGCGCAGCACAAGUCGCACUCUCUAUCAGCAAAGGUCUAGCAUCCAUUAAGCCUUUUUUUCAACUUUUGACCUCGGAUCAGGUAGGGAUACCCGCUGAACUUAA